This 425-nucleotide ribosomal RNA is filed under the name uncultured Comamonadaceae bacterium. RNAcentral describes it as "bacterial SSU rRNA". It matches the Rfam family "Bacterial small subunit ribosomal RNA", at positions 356 to 773 of the family's 1533-position model. The record is from RNAcentral. Lineage: Bacteria; Pseudomonadati; Pseudomonadota; Betaproteobacteria; Burkholderiales; Comamonadaceae.
GGGGAAUUUUGGACAAUGGGCGCAAGCCUGAUCCAGCAAUGCCGCGUGCAGGAAGAAGGCCUUCGGGUUGUAAACUGCUUUUGUACGGAACGAAAAGGCUCUGGUUAAUACCUGGGGCUCAUGACGGUACCGUAAGAAUAAGCACCGGCUAACUACGUGCCAGCAGCCGCGGUAAUACGUAGGGUGCAAGCGUUAAUCGGAAUUACUGGGCGUAAAGCGUGCGCAGGCGGUGAUGUAAGACAGGCGUGAAAUCCCCGGGCUCAACCUGGGAAUGGCGCUUGUGACUGCAUCGCUGGAGUGCGGCAGAGGGGGAUGGAAUUCCGCGUGUAGCAGUGAAAUGCGUAGAUAUGCGGAGGAACACCGAUGGCGAAGGCAAUCCCCUGGGCCUGCACUGACGCUCAUGCACGAAAGCGUGGGGAGCAAAC